This 373-nucleotide ribosomal RNA is filed under the name uncultured bacterium. Its description in RNAcentral is "bacterial SSU rRNA". It matches the Rfam family "Bacterial small subunit ribosomal RNA", at positions 523 to 898 of the family's 1533-position model. The record is from RNAcentral.
AUACGGAGGAUUCGAGCGUUAUCCGGAUUUAUUGGGUUUAAAGGGUGCGUAGGCGGAUUUGUAAGUCAGUGGUGAAAGUUUCCGGCUUAACCGGGAGAAUGCCGUUGAGACUGCAGGUCUUGAGUGCAAGCGAGGUAAGUGGAAUGUGUUGUGUAGCGGUGAAAUGCAUAGAUAUAACACAGAACACCGAUUGCGAAGGCAGCUUACUAGUAUGUAACUGACGCUGAGGCACGAAAGCGUGGGGAGCAAACAGGAUUAGAUACCCUGGUAGUCCACGCAGUAAACGAUGAAUACUAGCUGUAUGCGAUAGACAGUAUGCGGCGGAGCGAAAGCAUUAAGUAUUCCACCUGGGGAGUACGUCGGCAACGAUGAA